RNAcentral lists this ribosomal RNA (2903 nucleotides) under Escherichia coli O55:H7 str. CB9615. RNAcentral describes it as "bacterial LSU rRNA". It matches the Rfam family "Bacterial large subunit ribosomal RNA". Lineage: Bacteria; Pseudomonadati; Pseudomonadota; Gammaproteobacteria; Enterobacterales; Enterobacteriaceae. The record is from RNAcentral.
GGUUAAGCGACUAAGCGUACACGGUGGAUGCCCUGGCAGUCAGAGGCGAUGAAGGACGUGCUAAUCUGCGAUAAGCGUCGGUAAGGUGAUAUGAACCGUUAUAACCGGCGAUUUCCGAAUGGGGAAACCCAGUGUGUUUCGACACACUAUCAUUAACUGAAUCCAUAGGUUAAUGAGGCGAACCGGGGGAACUGAAACAUCUAAGUACCCCGAGGAAAAGAAAUCAACCGAGAUUCCCCCAGUAGCGGCGAGCGAACGGGGAGGAGCCCAGAGCCUGAAUCAGUGUGUGUGUUAGUGGAAGCGUCUGGAAAGGCGCGCGAUACAGGGUGACAGCCCCGUACACAAAAAUGCACAUACUGUGAGCUCGAUGAGUAGGGCGGGACACGUGGUAUCCUGUCUGAAUAUGGGGGGACCAUCCUCCAAGGCUAAAUACUCCUGACUGACCGAUAGUGAACCAGUACCGUGAGGGAAAGGCGAAAAGAACCCCGGCGAGGGGAGUGAAAAAGAACCUGAAACCGUGUACGUACAAGCAGUGGGAGCCUCUUUUAUGGGGUGACUGCGUACCUUUUGUAUAAUGGGUCAGCGACUUAUAUUCUGUAGCAAGGUUAACCGAAUAGGGGAGCCGAAGGGAAACCGAGUCUUAACUGGGCGUUAAGUUGCAGGGUAUAGACCCGAAACCCGGUGAUCUAGCCAUGGGCAGGUUGAAGGUUGGGUAACACUAACUGGAGGACCGAACCGACUAAUGUUGAAAAAUUAGCGGAUGACUUGUGGCUGGGGGUGAAAGGCCAAUCAAACCGGGAGAUAGCUGGUUCUCCCCGAAAGCUAUUUAGGUAGCGCCUCGUGAAUUCAUCUCCGGGGGUAGAGCACUGUUUCGGCAAGGGGGUCAUCCCGACUUACCAACCCGAUGCAAACUGCGAAUACCGGAGAAUGUUAUCACGGGAGACACACGGCGGGUGCUAACGUCCGUCGUGAAGAGGGAAACAACCCAGACCGCCAGCUAAGGUCCCAAAGUCAUGGUUAAGUGGGAAACGAUGUGGGAAGGCCCAGACAGCCAGGAUGUUGGCUUAGAAGCAGCCAUCAUUUAAAGAAAGCGUAAUAGCUCACUGGUCGAGUCGGCCUGCGCGGAAGAUGUAACGGGGCUAAACCAUGCACCGAAGCUGCGGCAGCGACACUGUGUGUUGUUGGGUAGGGGAGCGUUCUGUAAGCCUGUGAAGGUGUGCUGUGAGGCAUGCUGGAGGUAUCAGAAGUGCGAAUGCUGACAUAAGUAACGAUAAAGCGGGUGAAAAGCCCGCUCGCCGGAAGACCAAGGGUUCCUGUCCAACGUUAAUCGGGGCAGGGUGAGUCGACCCCUAAGGCGAGGCCGAAAGGCGUAGUCGAUGGGAAACAGGUUAAUAUUCCUGUACUUGGUGUUACUGCGAAGGGGGGACGGAGAAGGCUAUGUUGGCCGGGCGACGGUUGUCCCGGUUUAAGCGUGUAGGCUGGUUUUCCAGGCAAAUCCGGAAAAUCAAGGUUGAGGCGUGAUGACGAGGCACUACGGUGCUGAAGCAACAAAUGCCCUGCUUCCAGGAAAAGCCUCUAAGCAUCAGGUAACAUCAAAUCGUACCCCAAACCGACACAGGUGGUCAGGUAGAGAAUACCAAGGCGCUUGAGAGAACUCGGGUGAAGGAACUAGGCAAAAUGGUGCCGUAACUUCGGGAGAAGGCACGCUGAUAUGUAGGUGAAGUCCCUCGCGGAUGGAGCUGAAAUCAGUCGAAGAUACCAGCUGGCUGCAACUGUUUAUUAAAAACACAGCACUGUGCAAACACGAAAGUGGACGUAUACGGUGUGACGCCUGCCCGGUGCCGGAAGGUUAAUUGAUGGGGUCAGCGCAAGCGAAGCUCUUGAUCGAAGCCCCGGUAAACGGCGGCCGUAACUAUAACGGUCCUAAGGUAGCGAAAUUCCUUGUCGGGUAAGUUCCGACCUGCACGAAUGGCGUAAUGAUGGCCAGGCUGUCUCCACCCGAGACUCAGUGAAAUUGAACUCGCUGUGAAGAUGCAGUGUACCCGCGGCAAGACGGAAAGACCCCGUGAACCUUUACUAUAGCUUGACACUGAACAUUGAGCCUUGAUGUGUAGGAUAGGUGGGAGGCUUUGAAGUGUGGACGCCAGUCUGCAUGGAGCCGACCUUGAAAUACCACCCUUUAAUGUUUGAUGUUCUAACGUGGACCCGUGAUCCGGGUUGCGGACAGUGUCUGGUGGGUAGUUUGACUGGGGCGGUCUCCUCCUAAAGAGUAACGGAGGAGCACGAAGGUUGGCUAAUCCUGGUCGGACAUCAGGAGGUUAGUGCAAUGGCAUAAGCCAGCUUGACUGCGAGCGUGACGGCGCGAGCAGGUGCGAAAGCAGGUCAUAGUGAUCCGGUGGUUCUGAAUGGAAGGGCCAUCGCUCAACGGAUAAAAGGUACUCCGGGGAUAACAGGCUGAUACCGCCCAAGAGUUCAUAUCGACGGCGGUGUUUGGCACCUCGAUGUCGGCUCAUCACAUCCUGGGGCUGAAGUAGGUCCCAAGGGUAUGGCUGUUCGCCAUUUAAAGUGGUACGCGAGCUGGGUUUAGAACGUCGUGAGACAGUUCGGUCCCUAUCUGCCGUGGGCGCUGGAGAACUGAGGGGGGCUGCUCCUAGUACGAGAGGACCGGAGUGGACGCAUCACUGGUGUUCGGGUUGUCAUGCCAAUGGCACUGCCCGGUAGCUAAAUGCGGAAGAGAUAAGUGCUGAAAGCAUCUAAGCACGAAACUUGCCCCGAGAUGAGUUCUCCCUGACCCUUUAAGGGUCCUGAAGGAACGUUGAAGACGACGACGUUGAUAGGCCGGGUGUGUAAGCGCAGCGAUGCGUUGAGCUAACCGGUACUAAUGAACCGUGAGGCUUAACCUU